UUUCCGUAGGUGAACCUGCGGAAGGAUCAUUAAAAAAUCGGACUCCACUGGUGAGUUCAUUAAUAAUCCUACCCUUUGUGAAUUUGUUUGUUUGAAUAAUUUUUUUUCCAAAAAAAAUUAUUGAAUGUCUUUCCCUGUUUUGGUGGAGCUUGUAAAGUGAAACCAGGCAGGGGAAUGGCAAACAAUAAUUAUUUUUGAAAAAGACCUUUUUUAAAAUUAAACUUUUUGUAUUCAUUUGUCUAAAAUUAUUUUUAUAAUAUAAAAACAACUUUUGACAAUGGAUCUCUUGGUUCUCGCAACGAUGAAGAACGCAGCAAAAUGCGAUAAGUAGUGUGAAUUGCAGAAUACGUGAAUCAUCGAAUCUUCGAACGCAUAUUGCACUUUUUUAGUUUACUAAAAAAGUAUGUCUGUUUGAGUAUCAGUAAAAUAUUCUCAUAAAAAAUUUAUUUUUUAUGGUUAUGAGUGUUUUACAACGAUAACAAGUUGUUUCACUUUAAAUUCUUUGUUAUCAAAAAAAUCAUUAAAAGCUAAUUUUAAAGAUUUUUUAAAAUUGGAUAAAAUUUUCCCGUAAAAAGGAAUAACCUAAACAAUUUUAAAAAAUUAAAAUUGGUUUGAUUUUUCAUGAUUUAAAAAGGAAAAAAAAGUAAAAAUUAACUUGAUCUCAAUCAGAUAAGAGUACCCGCUGAACUUAAGCAUACCAAUAAGCGGAGGAAAAGAAACUAACUAGGAUUCCCUCAGUAACGGCGAGUGAAGCGGGAAGAGCUCAAAUUUGAAAUCUUCAAGGUUUUACCUUGACGAAUUGUAGUUUAAAGAAGUGUUUUCUGUUGGAGUUUUGGUAAAAGUUCUUUGGAAAAGGACAUCAUAGAGGGUGAGAAUCCCGUAUUUGACCAUUAUCUCCAGCUUUGUGAUACACUUUCAAAGAGUCGGAUUGUUUGGGAAUGCAGUCCAAAAUGGGUGGUAAAUUUCAUCUAAAGCUAAAUACUGGCGAGAGACCGAUAGCGAACAAGUACCGUGAGGGAAAGAUGAAAAGAACUUUGAAAAGAGAGUUAAACAGUACGUGAAAUUGUCAAAAGGGAAGCGUUUGACACCAGUGUUGUUUUCUCGAAAAUCAAUUAAAAAAGGCCGGAUUUUGUGUUGUAUUGACUUUAUCAGCUUUCUGCACUUUUUUCUUGUCUUUUUUAAUGCACUUUUCGUUUAACAAGUCAACAUCAAUUUCUUUUGUUGUAAAAGGGUCAUUGGAAGGUGGCUUUCUUUUCGGAGAAAGUGUUUAUAGCCUUUGGCCUCUGCAAUCGGAGAGAUUGAGGUCUGCAGCGUAGAUCCUUCGGGGUUAGAUACAUUUGUGCUAAGUUAUAGCCUUUCAUAGACAACUUGUUGACUAUGAUCAGUCAUGUAGCUUACUCGCUUAUGCUAUUU
Molecule: unclassified non-coding RNA, 1413 nt
Filed under: uncultured Neocallimastigales
Lineage: Eukaryota; Fungi; Neocallimastigomycota; Neocallimastigomycetes; Neocallimastigales
Description: partial contains small subunit ribosomal RNA, internal transcribed spacer 1, 5.8S ribosomal RNA, internal transcribed spacer 2, and large subunit ribosomal RNA
Rfam family: Eukaryotic large subunit ribosomal RNA (bases 657-1413)
Source: RNAcentral